GGGCCCGUGGCCUAGCCUGGAUAGGGCACUAGCCUCCUAAGUUAGUAAUCCCCGGUUCGAAUCCGGGCGGGCCCG
Molecule: transfer RNA, 75 nt
Filed under: Candidatus Thorarchaeota archaeon AB_25
Lineage: Archaea; Promethearchaeati; Candidatus Thorarchaeota
Description: tRNA-Arg
Rfam family: tRNA
About the family: Transfer RNA (tRNA) molecules are approximately 80 nucleotides in length.
Source: RNAcentral